GGACUACCAGGGUAUCUAAUCCUAUUCGAUACCCUUGCCUUCGUUCCUUGAUGUCGGUUGUUAUAGAGGUUUGUCUGCACUUUUAUCAGUCCUCAAAGUAUUUUAAUAUUCUAUCAUUACACUAUUAGUACUAAAUACCUCUUCCUCAAAACUCUAGUUCUAAUAUAAUAUAUUUGAUUAUAAAACCCCCUUUAGGUUAAUGUUUAUAUAGAUAUAUUAUGAACCAUCUAGGAACCCUUUAAACCUAAUAAAGAUGAAAAACACUAGUCUAUAUUGUAUUACCGCGGCUGCUGGCAC
Molecule: ribosomal RNA, 297 nt
Filed under: uncultured bacterium
Lineage: Bacteria
Description: partial 16S ribosomal RNA
Source: RNAcentral